UAGGGAAUCUUCCGCAAUGGGCGAAAGCCUGACGGAGCAACGCCGCGUGAGUGAUGAAGGUCUUCGGAUCGUAAAACUCUGUUAUCAGGGAAGAACAAAUGUGUAAGUAACUAUGCACGUCUUGACGGUACCUAAUCAGAAAGCCACGGCUAACUACGUGCCAGCAGCCGCGGUAAUACGUUGGUGGCAAGCGUUAUCCGGAAUUAUUGGGCGUAAAGCGCGCGUAGGCGGUAUUUUAAGUCUGAUGUGAAAGCCCACAGCUCAACCGUAGAGAGUCAUUGGAAACUGGAAUACUUGAAUGCAAAAGAGGAAAGUAGAAUUCCAUGUGUAGCGGUGAAAUGCGCAGAGAUAUGGAGGAACAACAGUGGCGAAAGCGGCUUACUGAUCAGUAACUGACACUGAUGUGCGAAAGCGUGGGGAUCAAACAGG
Molecule: ribosomal RNA, 429 nt
Filed under: Actinomycetes bacterium
Lineage: Bacteria; Bacillati; Actinomycetota; Actinomycetes
Description: Actinobacteria bacterium partial 16S ribosomal RNA
Rfam family: Bacterial small subunit ribosomal RNA
Source: RNAcentral